RNAcentral lists this ribosomal RNA (245 nucleotides) under uncultured bacterium. RNAcentral describes it as "partial 16S ribosomal RNA". It matches the Rfam family "Archaeal small subunit ribosomal RNA", at positions 473 to 716 of the family's 1478-position model. The record is from RNAcentral.
AUACCAGCACCCGAGUGGUCGGGACGUUUUAUUGGGCCUAAAGCAUCCGUAGCCGGUUCUACAAGUCUUCCGUUAAAUCCAGCUGCUUAACAGAUGGGCUGCGGAAGAUACUAUGGAGCUAGGAGGCGGGAGAGGCAAGCGGUACUCGAUGGGUAGGGGUAAAAUCCGUUGAUCCAUUGAAGACCACCAGUGGCGAAGGCGGCUUGCCAGAACGGCGCUCGGACGGUGAGGGAUGAAAGCUGGGG